RNAcentral lists this ribosomal RNA (497 nucleotides) under uncultured bacterium. RNAcentral's name for it is "partial 16S ribosomal RNA". It matches the Rfam family "Bacterial small subunit ribosomal RNA", at positions 28 to 507 of the family's 1533-position model. The record is from RNAcentral.
GAUGAACGCUGGCGGCGUGCCUAAUACAUGCAAGUCGAGCUAACAGACGAGGAGCUUGCUCCUCUGACGUUAGCGGCUGACGGGUGAGUAACACGUUGAUAACCUACCUAUAAGACUUUUAUAAUUUCGGGAAACCGGAGCUAAUACCGGAUAAUAUAUUGCACCGCAUGGUUCAAUAGUUAAAGACGCUUUUGCUGCCUCUUAUAGCUGUUUUCGCGCUGCAUCAGCUAGUUGGUAAGGUAACGGCGUACUAAGGCAACGAUGCUUAGCCGAACUGAGAGAGUGAUCGGCAACACUGGAACUAAGACACGGUCAAGACUCAUACGGGAGGAAGCAGAAGGGAAUCUGCCGCAAUGGACGGAAGCCUGACGAAGCAACGACGCGUGAGUGAUGAAGGUCUUCGGAUCGUAAAACACUGUUAGUAGGGAAGAACAAAUGUGAAAGUAACUAUGCACGUCUUGACGGUACCUAAGCAGAAAGCUACGGAUAACUACGUG